This 387-nucleotide ribosomal RNA is filed under the name uncultured bacterium. Its description in RNAcentral is "bacterial SSU rRNA". It matches the Rfam family "Bacterial small subunit ribosomal RNA", at positions 28 to 417 of the family's 1533-position model. The record is from RNAcentral.
GACGAACGCUGGCGGCGUGCUUAACACAUGCAAGUCGAGCGGUAAGGCCCUUUCGGGGGUACACGAGCGGCGAACGGGUGAGUAACACGUGGGUGACCUGCCUUUAGCUCUGGGAUAAGCCUGGGAAACUGGGUCUAAUACCGGAUAUGACUCCGCGGUGCAUGCUGUGGGGUGGAAAGCCUUGUGCGGCUGGAGAUGGGCCCGCGGCCUAUCAGCUUGUUGGUGGGGUGAUGGCCUACCAAGGCGACGACGGGUAGCCGGCCUGAGAGGGCGACCGGCCACACUGGGACUGAGACACGGCCCAGACUCCUACGGGAGGCAGCAGUGGGGAAUCUUGCGCAAUGGGCGAAAGCCUGACGCAGCGACGCCGCGUGAGGAUGACGGCCU